Molecule: long non-coding RNA, 938 nt
Organism: Theobroma cacao (cacao)
Lineage: Eukaryota; Viridiplantae; Streptophyta; Magnoliopsida; Malvales; Malvaceae
Source: RefSeq, a predicted model, not a curated record
AAAUGAAAAGUUAAAGAACUGUCGUAGUUUAUUGAUUAAUUUGUCAUUGGAAAGUAGCAAAAGAGAUAUCCAUAUUCAAGAUUUAUACUUUUAACUUGACCAAGAAGCGAUUGCUUUUUGAGGGUACGUGUUUACUGAUGGCUGGCGGAAGCACACGAGAGAACGCACAAAAGUGAGCUCUCAUCCCAUCUGAUAGCUUUUUCGCUUUAAAGAGAAGGUUGCCCUGCAGGGUGUUUUACAGGUACUUGUCUUUCUUUCAUGCUUGGGUACUUGGAUUUUGGAGACACCGGCUGGGAAGAAAAGUGUUUUAGAUAAGAGAAUAUUCGAUCGCCAACGUAUUGCAAAUCUUUGGAAUGUUACUACACGCUAUUGCCAUGCCAAUGGGCUUUUGUGAACAAGAAUCUUAUAUCAGGUUUGGGCUUUAUUACAAGACAUCGUGGCAAUCAUAGUCCCAGGAAGAAGAUUGAACGUGCAGGACCUUUUCAGGAUUGAGAUUUUUACAUUUUGCAAGUGACAGGGAAUUGGUGUUAGAAGAGAUGGGAUACUGUUUCGGGCGAAUUUACCUGUGAAGCAAUACAUCACUAAUCCACUUAGGGGUCAAAAAAAAGUUUGAUUGCCUACCUUUUUUCUUUUUCACGUCAUAUGUCAUAACAAGGAAAAAAACCUUGUCAGGAGAAUCUCAUACUGUGACCCUUCUCAACUUCUCAUAUCAUCUUAUCAAUCAGACAUUAACGAAAAAGUGACGGUGCAAAAGUCUACAACAUCUCGGCAUGGGUUUCUUUUUCUUGCAGCAAAUAGUUGUUGUAACAUCCUUCUUUAUUCCCCCCUCCCUCUUCUUUUCUUUCCCUUUUUAUUUUUUUGUCUAAUCUGGAUUAGCAUUUCAUUAUUUGAUGAAAAAAAAUAUGGAGCCAAGCUUUUCUUGGACAAUUCAAGCCCUA